UGGAGUAACAGUUUGCCUUCAGAGAUUAGUCCAAGCAGUUUCAGUCCAUUAAAACCUGCUGCUGCUGAGCCCAUCACCUUGCAAGGCGCAGACUCUGCCUGGCUUGGCAGCAAGUCCACCAUUAUCCAUGAACUGUUACUGUAAAUUAUUCAAAAAACAGGGUCUCCGAGUAGCCCUCAAGGUUUCCAGAUCACUUUAUGCCAGAUGAGAGCUGAGCAAGGUGGACACGGGUCACCCAGGCCACACUUAACUGGCCCUGGGAACUCCCUGCGAGCACUCCUGGCUUUGUAAAGGUCAUGCAUGCCACAGGGUUUCCAGGGUAAGGGGAUUUGGGACAAAUGCUUCACCCCAGUGACUCACCCACUUCCGCAGAGCGUUCCGGGUUUCCUAGCUGUGCUAUGGCAACAGCAAGUGCAACACAUUUUUGUGUGGUGUUUCAUGCAAUAACCUUUUGCUGAAGUAACUCAAAUCGCUCAAGAGACACGGGCACGCCACAGGAAAAGCAUCACAGAGCCAGCGGGAGCAGCCCACACAGCUAACAGCACGCUCUGAAAUAACGCACUUCCACGCCAACCGGCUUGCAAAGAAGCUGGCAAGAGGCACUGACAAGGACUUCUGCCACACCUCGGGUACUGAUCUGGGGCUUGUGACACCACUAACCAGGAGCUGGCAGAGGGGAAGGGCAGGGCCAGCCCAGGGCUAGUUAUGAGCCCCCAGCCAGCCCCCAGUGCCUGGGGAGCCUGGAUCGUGGAGCUGCCCGUGGCACCCCCAGCACCGCACGAGCCCAGGGCCGGGGAACGUGCCCGAGCUUCAGGGACUCACCUCGGCUGUGCCUCACACCACAGCCAAAUAACACCCAGCUCAGGAGUUCCUGUGUCAGGAGACACAGACACCUUCCUGACAACCCCUCGAAUUCUCCCUACAGGGAAACAGUUUGCGGUGCUGCUCCUCCUGCAAUCACGAUGGAUGCUCGAGAACGAGACAAAGGAUUUAUCAUUCUUCUCCAGGCAGGUGGUGAUGGAUCAUCUCUGGAGCUGUGGAAUUUCCCCAGACCCAAUGUGAAAUCAAUCUCCUGGAAACGUUUCACUGGCCAUAUAGAGGGCUAUUUGGAAACUGCAAGGUCCUCUGGUAUACGGCUUUACCUGCAAUCAUCUGGGCUGCAGCAUUUUAAUUUGUUUCCUUUAAAGAGACUCAAGGGUACCAUAAAGAGGCAGUUUCCAGGAUUCAAAGGAGACGGCUGAAUUUGAUCUCUUUCCAUGGCCUUGUAUGUAAUUACUGGAAAGAGUGAGGUAGGCAAUACAGAUGCAAAAACUGAGAGAGGGUGAAGAGAAGUUAUUCAGAGCCAGCAGACAGAAACAUACCUCUGCUCAGAUUUGGUGGCAGCGUGCUGGCAUUGCUAAGCAGGGAGGCUGGGCUAGGGCUGAUAACAGCAAUCUUGCAAACUCCUGUGGCUGGGAGCGUGUUCCCUGGGACUGGUGCGUGGAGCUGGAAAGAAGGAAAGGAGAAUGUUACUGCCUUCCACCUGCAACAAGGACAGCCAAAGGUUCAGCUCCAUCCGUGGCCCAUGUUUUAUUUCCCCCAACCCUGUCCUAGCCCUGCUGGCAGUGGCUGCGGGUGUUUUUGCUGCAUGCUCUUUUGAAGGAUCACCAUCCAGCCAAGGGGUUUUGCUUUUCCUGGAGUUGCCUGGCUGCCUGGCCAUACAAAGUGUUUCUUUGCACUGUAUAAUUAUAAAAGACAUGCAACUUUUGACACUUAUAAUAUCCCAAAGCAGUUUGUUUCUCUCCGUUUUUGAUUGCACCUUGCUUCAGGGCAUGGCCUUCAACUCUGCUAGUGGCUAAAAAAACAUUUCAGGCUUUGACAAUAUCAAGCUCAUCUGUCUUUGACUACACAACUCUGUAUUUUAACAGCCUAAGUGACUCGUCAACACUGCCACUUUGAGAGAAUUUCUUAUGUGUCAUCUAGUUUUAGUGCUAUUCUAUUUCAUUUGCUACCUUAGCUUAAUCAUUUUUUAACACUCUUUCAGUUUGCGUUUUUAUCUCUUUUCAUCAUCAUCUGUUCCCGAUACUUUAUUUUUCCAAUAAACUAAGUAAUUUAAUGGCCCUAAUCCCA
RNAcentral lists this long non-coding RNA (2109 nucleotides) under Anas platyrhynchos platyrhynchos (common mallard). RNAcentral describes it as "lncRNA (ENSAPLG00000016506.1)". The record is from RNAcentral. Lineage: Eukaryota; Metazoa; Chordata; Aves; Anseriformes; Anatidae.